RNAcentral lists this ribosomal RNA (616 nucleotides) under uncultured Legionella sp. RNAcentral's name for it is "bacterial SSU rRNA". It matches the Rfam family "Bacterial small subunit ribosomal RNA", at positions 242 to 849 of the family's 1533-position model. Lineage: Bacteria; Pseudomonadati; Pseudomonadota; Gammaproteobacteria; Legionellales; Legionellaceae. The record is from RNAcentral.
UAGCUAGUUGGUGGGGUAAGGGCCUACCAAGGCGACGAUCGGUAGCUGGUCUGAGAGGAUGGCCAGCCACACUGGAACUGAGACACGGUCCAGACUCCUACGGGAGGCAGCAGUGGGGAAUAUUGGACAAUGGGGGCAACCCUGAUCCAGCAAUGCCGCGUGUGUGAAGAAGGCCUGAGGGUUGUAAAGCACUUUCAGUAGGGAGGAGGGUUGAUUGGUUAAGAGCUGAUUGACUGGACGUUACCUACAGAAGAAGCACCGGCUAACUCCGUGCCAGCAGCCGCGGUAAUACGGAGGGUGCGAGCGUUAAUCGGAAUUACUGGGCGUAAAGCGUGCGUAGGUGGUUGAAUAAGUUAUCUGUGAAAUCCCUGGGCUUAACCUGGGCAGGUCAGAUGAUACUGUUUGACUCGAGUAUGGGAGAGGGUAGUGGAAUUUCCGGUGUAGCGGUGAAAUGCGUAGAGAUCGGAAGGAACACCAGUGGCGAAGGCGGCUACCUGGCCUAAUACUGACACUGAGGCACGAAAGCGUGGGGAGCAAACAGGAUUAGAUACCCUGGUAGUCCACGCUGUAAACGAUGUCAACUAGCUGUUGGUUAUAUGAAAAUAAUUAGCGGCGC